Molecule: long non-coding RNA, 326 nt
Organism: Xenia sp. Carnegie-2017
Lineage: Eukaryota; Metazoa; Cnidaria; Anthozoa; Malacalcyonacea; Xeniidae
Exons: 2
Source: RefSeq, a predicted model, not a curated record
UUUUUAAAAAUUCUUCUCAAACAUCGAUCUUUGAGAAUUGCCGCCAUUUUUAUAACUAAUGAUCUCCCAUGUACUGCUGCUUGUCCACUGCUGCCACUAACAACGUUCAAACCUUGAAGAUGAGUUGCGCUACCAUCAACAAACAAUGUUGGAUGAAAACUUAACGAUUGUUGUUCAUCAACUUCGCUUACUGCGCGCUGAAAAGCCAUAUUUGUGUAAACAUUUUGCUGCGCAAUAUAGUCAAAUCGUGCCAUUCUUCCGCAGUCUAUAAAUAACAAGUUCAAACAAUGAUGAUGUAAAUUAGGAAAAAAAAGAUUAAUUCAAUC